This 451-nucleotide ribosomal RNA is filed under the name uncultured bacterium. RNAcentral's name for it is "partial 16S ribosomal RNA". It matches the Rfam family "Bacterial small subunit ribosomal RNA", at positions 29 to 523 of the family's 1533-position model. The record is from RNAcentral.
AGCGAACGCUGGCGGCAGGCUUAACACAUGCAAGUCGAGCGGGCAUAGCAAUAUGUCAGCGGCAGACGGGUGAGUAACGCGUGGGAACGUACCUUUUGGUUCGGAACAACACAGGGAAACUUGUGCUAAUACCGGAUAAGCCCUUACGGGGAAAGAUUUAUCGCCGAAAGAUCGGCCCGCGUCUGAUUAGCUAGUUGGUGAGGUAAUGGCUCACCAAGGCGACGAUCAGUAGCUAGUCUGAGAGGAUGAUCAGCCACAUUGGGACUGAGACACGGCCCAAACUCCUACGGGAGGCAGCAGUGGGGAAUAUUGGACAAUGGGCGCAAGCCUGAUCCAGCCAUGCCGCGUGAGUGAUGAAGGCCCUAGGGUUGUAAAGCUCUUUUGUGCGGGAAGAUAAUGACGGUACCGCAAGAAUAAGCCCCGGCUAACUUCGUGCCAGCAGCCGCCGUAA